GGUCAAGCGAACAAGUGCAUGUGGUGGAUGCCUUGGCGAUCACAGGCGAUGAAGGACGCGGUAGCCUGCGAAAAGCUACGGGGAGCUGGCAAACAAGCUUUGAUCCGUAGAUGUCCGAAUGGGGAAACCCACUCCUUUUGGAGUAUCCAUGGCUGAAUACAUAGGCCAUGUGAAGCGAACGCGGUGAACUGAAACAUCUAAGUAACCGCAGGAAAAGAAAUCAACCGAGAUUCCCAAAGUAGUGGCGAGCGAAAUGGGAUGAGCCUUGCACUCUUUAUUUGUAUUGUUAGCCGAACGCUCUGGAAAGUGCGGCCAUAGCAGGUGAUAGCCCUGUAGGCGAAAACAGUAUGAAAGAACUAGGUGUGCGACAAGUAGGGCGGGACACGUGAAAUCCUGUCUGAAGAUGGGGGGACCAUCCUCCAAGGCUAAAUACUCGUGAUCGACCGAUAGUGAACCAGUACCGUGAGGGAAAGGCGAAAAGAACCCCGGGAGGGGAGUGAAAUAGAUCCUGAAACCGCAUGCAUACAAACAGUCGGAGCCUCGUAAGGGGUGACGGCGUACCUUUUGUAUAAUGGGUCAGCGACUUACGUUCAGUAGCAAGCUUAACCGUAUAGGGCAGGCGUAGCGAAAGCGAGUCCGAAUAGGGCGUUCAGUUGCUGGGCGUAGACCCGAAACCAGGUGAUCUAUCCAUGGCCAGGAUGAAGGUGCGGUAACACGUACUGGAGGUCCGAACCCACUAACGUUGAAAAGUUAGGGGAUGAGCUGUGGAUAGGGGUGAAAGGCUAAACAAACCUGGAAAUAGCUGGUUCUCUCCGAAAACUAUUUAGGUAGUGCCUCGUGUCUCACCUUCGGGGGUAGAGCACUGUCAUGGUUGGGGGGUCUAUUGCAGAUUACCCCGCCAUAGCAAACUCCGAAUACCGAAGAGUGCAAUCACGGGAGACAGACAUCGGGUGCUAACGUCCGGUGUCAAGAGGGAAACAACCCAGACCGCCAGCUAAGGUCCCCAAAUAUAGCUAAGUGGGAAACGAAGUGGGAAGGCUAAAACAGUCAGGAGGUUGGCUUAGAAGCAGCCACCCUUUAAAGAAAGCGUAAUAGCUCACUGAUCGAGUCGUCCUGCGCGGAAGAUGUAACGGGGCUAAGCUAUAUACCGAAGCUGCGGAUGCG
RNAcentral lists this ribosomal RNA (1164 nucleotides) under Burkholderia cepacia. RNAcentral's name for it is "partial 23S ribosomal RNA". It matches the Rfam family "Bacterial large subunit ribosomal RNA", at positions 1 to 1210 of the family's 2925-position model. RNAcentral also lists the same sequence under 1 other name. The record is from RNAcentral. Lineage: Bacteria; Pseudomonadati; Pseudomonadota; Betaproteobacteria; Burkholderiales; Burkholderiaceae.